AACGAACGCUGGCGGCAGGCCUAACACAUGCAAGUCGAGCGGGCGUAGCAAUACGUCAGCGGCGGACGGGUGAGUAACACGUGGGAAUAUGCCUUUCGGUUUGGAACAACUCGGGGAAACCCGUGCUAAUUCCGGAUACGCCCUUAGGGGGAAGGAUUUAUCGCCGAAAGAUUAGCCCGCGUCCGAUUAGCUAGUUGGUGAGGUAACGGCCCACCAAGGCGACGAUCGGUAGCUGGUUUGAGAGAACGACCAGCCACACUGGGACUGAGACACGGCCCAGACUCCUACGGGAGGCAGCAGUGGGGAAUCUUGGACAAUGGAGGAAACUCUGAUCCAGCCAUGCCGCGUGAGUGAUGAAGGCCUU
Molecule: ribosomal RNA, 364 nt
Filed under: uncultured bacterium
Lineage: Bacteria
Description: bacterial SSU rRNA
Rfam family: Bacterial small subunit ribosomal RNA
Source: RNAcentral